GUGCCGAAAGCAUUCCACAGGGAUGCUGGCCCGUGUUGACUCUAAUGCUUCCCACAGUUGUGUCAAGUUGGCUGGAUGUCAUUUGGGUGGUGGACCAUUCUUGAUACACAUGGGGAAACUGUUGAGCGUGGAAAAAACCCAGCAGUGUUGCAGUUCUUGACUCACUCAAACCUGUGCGCCCGGCACCUACCUCCACACCCCGUUCAAAGGCACUUAAAUCUUUUGUCUUCCCCCUUCACCCUCUGAAUGACACACAUACAGUACUGAUCUAACGGUUUAGAACACCGACUCAUUCAAGGAUUUUUUCUUUAUUUUUACUAUGUUCUACAUUGUAGAAUAAUAGUGAAGACAUUAAAACUAUGAAAUAACACAUAUGGAAUCAUGUUGUAACCCAAAACAAAAAUGUGUUUAAAUCAAAAUAUAUUUUAUAUUUGAGAUUCUUCAAAUAGCCACCGUUUGGAUUUAACAAGUGACAUCAACAAGGGAUCAUAGCUGAUCUCCUGGAUUCACCUGGUCAGUCUAUUCAAUGCAAAGAGCAGGUGUUCCUAAUGUUUUGUCUACUCUGUGUCUUAGCUUAAUAUUGUUAUUAUCAGUUAACCUUUGUCCUACAGAAUAAUGUGUAUGAUAUGAUAUUUUAGAUUUAUAUUACUCCUCAAUCAUCCCCUGUAUUCUGUGUAGACAGGAUUUUGACCCGAAACGUUUCUUAUUGCGCUCUGGACUGGUGAGUUUGUUACCAAAUAAAAACAGGACAGACCGUUCUCUGCCACAUGUGUUGAGGGGGACGGGGUUAUUUGCUCCAUCAUCACAACCACAUGUGUUGAGGGGGGCGGGGUUAUUUGCUCCAUCAUCACAACCACAUGUGUUGAGGGGGGCGGGGUUAUUUGCUCCAUCAUCACAACCACAGGUGUUCUGGAACUUCAGAGCUGUGAGGGGAAAUGAGUUGGGCCACUCUGUUGCGCAAUCAAGGAUGUUCCCUCCAUCUCCUUCCUUCCUUCCUUCCUUCCUGGCAGAGUAGAGGAUACACAUUUCAUUUCCUGGUCCCGUGGACAACAACAGUGAGAAGCCUCCUUUACAUUUGAAGAGUUUAUUUUAGAUAAAUUCAAAAAUAGUUUAUUUCAGAUGUAUAUAACAAUUGUUUUUUUGUUACAAAACAUUAUAUAUACAGUGUUUAGCUGGAAUGGAAUGUUCCUAACCUUUAUAUAUAACAUAUAAAUUCCAAAAGAGUUUAUUUACAAAACACUAUAUCCCAUCAGUUUUUCCAUGUGUUUUUUUUAUUCCAUCAGAAAUAAAUGCAAAUGGGGUACCUUUGUGUAAAGUAUUACUGUCCUCGUAGAUGUUCAAUGUGUAUAACAAUUGGUUUAGUUAGUAAAGAGCUGUAUAUCCAGUGUUUAGCUGGAAUGUUCCUAUCCUGUAUAUUUCACUUAUAUAUUCAACACAUGAAUCUAGCCUCAUUCUAUAGUGUUUGGUUAGAGUUA
Molecule: long non-coding RNA, 1475 nt
Organism: Oncorhynchus tshawytscha (Chinook salmon)
Lineage: Eukaryota; Metazoa; Chordata; Actinopteri; Salmoniformes; Salmonidae
Source: Ensembl